AGUGAACGCUGGCGGUAGGCCUAACACAUGCAAGUCGAACGGCAGCACAGGAGAGCUUGCUCUCUGGGUGGCGAGUGGCGGACGGGUGAGGAAUACAUCGGAAUCUACUCUGUCGUGGGGGAUAACGUAGGGAAACUUACGCUAAUACCGCAUACGACCUACGGGUGAAAGCAGGGGAUCUUCGGACCUUGCGCGAUUGAAUGAGCCGAUGUCGGAUUAGCUAGUUGGCGGGGUAAAGGCCCACCAAGGCGACGAUCCGUAGCGGGCCUGAGAGGAUGAUCAGCCACACUGGAACUGAGACACGGUCCAGACUCCUACGGGAGGCAGCAGUGGGGAAUAUUGGACAAUGGGCGCAAGCCUGAUCCAGCCAUACCGCGUGGGUGAAGAAGGCCUUCGGGUUGUAAAGCCCUUUUGUUGGGAAAGAAAUCCAGCUGGCUAAUACCCGGUUGGGAUGACGGUACCCAAAGAAUAAGCACCGGCUAACUUCGUGCCAGCAGCCGCCGCCG
RNAcentral lists this ribosomal RNA (506 nucleotides) under uncultured bacterium. RNAcentral describes it as "partial 16S ribosomal RNA". It matches the Rfam family "Bacterial small subunit ribosomal RNA", at positions 29 to 523 of the family's 1533-position model. The record is from RNAcentral.